This is a long non-coding RNA of Cavia porcellus (domestic guinea pig), 2606 nucleotides long. RefSeq lists it as uncharacterized. NCBI's taxonomy places the organism in Eukaryota, Metazoa, Chordata, Mammalia, Rodentia, Caviidae. The record is from RefSeq and is a predicted model, not a curated record. The transcript is spliced from 2 exons.
GCUUGCAGACAGACAAUUUAAUUUAGCACUGCAUCUGUGAAUUACUAAACUUAAGUGCACUUAGUACAACAAAUGGCACCGAGAAACAAAACAUUGUCUUUAUUUCUCUGGAGGAUAAGUGCCACUUUUAAAAAAUUACUUCUUUAAAAUAUGUUUUUAAAAAACCUAGAGCUUAAGACAUAUAUAAAAUAUUAGGGCAAAUACAUGAAAGACUUCUGUGAGUCUUUGUUUCCUUUUCUGCAGUCGCCCUCACCUAUUCUUGCUUGGAAACACUAGCAGACAUGACUCAAAGUCUGUUUCCAGCUGGUGUGUUCACUUCUACUACUGCUGCUGCCAUUUUGAAUUUGCAGAAAACCCGAGCUGAGCUCCCGUACGAUAAGGGAAACCUCACAAGGGUCAAAAACCCUGAGAUCUCAGAAGGAUUCCAGUGCUGUUUCCCAGAGGACGGCCUGUUGAGUAUUCACUGUAUCUAUGCACUAUGCAUUAGAGAGCUGUUUGGUGCCACUGAACCAAGCACAUUUUGGCUAGGACUCUGACCACACUCUGUAUUUCAAGACUGUACUCUUAGAACCAACACAGGCGUACAUGUCAUCCUAAAGUGGAAAUAUACUUCUGCAUAUUGCCUGCAUUUACAGAGCAGGCCCUUCACCUGUCACAUGAGACUAGAGCCUAAGUGUGCAACACUGGAGUGUGUCCUCAGAUUCACUUCCUGCUUGGAAGGCAGCCUUCGGUGUCCAGGUCUCAGUAACCUUGGCCCACUGGAGUGGAACCGUGGCGGGCACCAGGUGACUGAGAGGCAAAGAGGAUGGUGACGGGCCAAAGCCUUGGAUGCCAGGGUGAUGACAGAGGAAGCCAGCUGAAGGUGCAAAGCCAUCAGCACUUCUGGCCUUAGUGCUGACAAAGGAUGUUACCAGCACCCACCCAGACUGCCUCGCUCUUUCCCAGUCAUCUUAUAAAAAGGUGCUCCUUGCAUUAACUUAAAAUCUGUCUUUGAAUAUCUUGCUCCUUCCUGGGCCUCUGUAGCCUACGGGAAAACAGCCCAUCUAUCCUCCACCAUUCAUCCGGCAAGGAAAAGCCAUGUGAGCAUUCAUUUCCCUUAUUACCAUCCUUCUUUCUAUCCAUCCUCCCUUCUUUUUUUUUCUUCCUUUUCUUCCUCCCUUCCUGGUCACUCUCUCCUUCUUCCCUCCAUCCUAGACAAGUGUCUUCAGCUAGUCUUCAUGUUAUGAUUUUAACUGUUCUGCAUGAAACUUUAAAUAAGGUUCUUUAAUCCAAAGUCAUAAGGAAAGCUAAAGUUUCUAAUAAAUUAGGACCAGAGGCAAAUUCCAGUGUUUCCCCAUGUGUCUUCUCUCCCUGGUCACACAUAUGUUGUGUGUACCACUCCACAAAUGGCUGUUCUAUCCUGGGUCCCAACUGGAUUCCACGCACCUCCCACCAAAGGCUACUCUCAAGAGCUCAUUUCCCUCUUCUUUCUGAGUCUGCAGGUGGACUGUCCCAGCCUUCGUAGCAGUGGCCUCUGUAUUCUACCAGAGGAAACUGAGUGAAGGCACAUGGGCCUGGCCAUAAGAUCUCUGCAGCAGGUCUAGUCUGUUCCCCUUUGUGGCUCACUGUAAUGGAAAGGACGACACUGACCUUAAAGGCUACACACUGAAGUGAGGUGGUUCCUUCAUCUGGGACUCUGAAUGGUGAGGAGAUGCUCCACUCGCCAGAAAUAUCCAGCUCAGUCUGUCAAGUGAGCAACAAAAACUCGCAUGUUUGAACAUGCUUAAGUCUAUUUCUCCUCCCCUAAUACUUGGACCUUUAACAUCUCACUCCAUGCCUGUUAUCAGUGAAUGUGUCUCUUCCAACAACCUUUAAACAUGGGCAGUGUCUGCACGCCCUCCAGCCCCUAAGAAGACACUUCCCAGCUCACAGUGGGCAUUCACUGAACACAUAGGAAAUAACCAGAAUCUAAACCGAAUCCUCCUCCGUGACUUUUAUGCACUCUUACCAUAUUUUUUCAAUAAGUAUAAUCUCUCCCUAGCUUAUAGAUGAUGCACAUUCUCUGUGGGGGAAAUUUUACUCCAAAGAUGUUAUAAAUGUGGCUUAUGAAUUAUUAUUUCUGGUAUUUGUGAAGCCGUUUCCUCAAGAACUGGGCAAAUGCCUGAUUUCCCAGAGGAUCAGCAUAACUCUGUUUAUAUUACCGUUUAAAGACUGUCUUGGAGUCUUUAAAGUAGCUCAUCUCUGGGACAGAAGUCUUUGCCGGGCCUUGCAAAUGUGGAAUUUGGAGCUAGGCAGAAGUGUUUUUGAACUGGUACUCAGACCACCACAUCUGGAUGGACUUGGUGUGCACUCAGGCAGAAAACAGAAACCUCAUUCUAAUAAUAGCAACUUGUAACCCAUUUAUGCCAUAAUCCGUCUUUUCAAACUCUGCACAUUUCUUCAUUUUCAUACAUUCUUUCUAGUGAAAUGUAAGUGAUAACAGGAAGGCCCCACACAAUAUGCUGAUUUCCUGACACAGGUCAAGAUCCCAUAUUUCGGGUUUCAUCUCGCCUUAUACUUUAUACAAUAUAACUAUUGCACAAAGUAUGAUUUAUAAUCAUUCCCUUGUUCAAAACUCCCCCUGCUAA